Molecule: transfer-messenger RNA, 345 nt
Filed under: bovine gut metagenome
Rfam family: transfer-messenger RNA
About the family: Bacterial tmRNA, also known as 10Sa RNA or SsrA, is named for its dual tRNA and mRNA-like properties.
Source: RNAcentral
GGGGUUGUACUGGUUUCGACGGGGUUUUUGAAGUUAUAGAAGCCAUCCGUGGACUAGGACCACGUUAAAACUUAGAAAAUAAAUAUAAACGCUAACGAAAAUUUAGCUUACGCUGCCUAGUUGCAGCUGUCAGCCUUAAGUCACCUGCUGCUUAAGAAUCUGGCAUCGACUUUGCGGGGAACUUCUUUGUCAAAGCUUUGAGACAUUGGAAGAAUUAUGAAGCUACUGAGCCGGUAAAUCUGUCAUUCGAUGUACCGGGGAGGGAAUGUUAAAUGAAUGACUGUGAUGGGAGAUGCUGUAAUGAAUGGAAUUUCGGACAGGGGUUCGAUUCCCCUCAGCUCCACU